RNAcentral lists this transfer RNA (68 nucleotides) under Pnyxia scabiei. RNAcentral describes it as "tRNA-Gly". Lineage: Eukaryota; Metazoa; Arthropoda; Insecta; Diptera; Sciaridae. The record is from RNAcentral.
AUUUAUAUAAUAUAAUAAGUAUUUAUAACUUCCAAUUAUAAUGUUUAAAAAUAAAUUUAAUAUAAAUA